CAGUAGCCACGGGAAUACGUAGGUGGCAAGCGUUGUCCGGAAUUAUUGGGCGUAAAGGGCUCGCAGGCGGUUUCUUAAGUCUGAUGUGAAAGCCCCCGGCUCAACCGGGGAGGGUCAUUGGAAACUGGGAAACUUGAGUGCAGAGGAGGAGAGUGGAAUUCCACGUGUAGCGGUGAAAUGCGUAGAGAUGUGGAGGAACACCAGUGGCGAAGGCGACUCUCUGGUCUGUAACUGACGCUGAGGAGCGAAAGCGUGGGGAGCGAACAGGAUUAGAUACCCCGGUAGUCCCUGUCUCUUAUAC
This 301-nucleotide ribosomal RNA is filed under the name uncultured bacterium. Its description in RNAcentral is "partial 16S ribosomal RNA". It matches the Rfam family "Bacterial small subunit ribosomal RNA", at positions 509 to 807 of the family's 1533-position model. The record is from RNAcentral.